Molecule: long non-coding RNA, 813 nt
Filed under: Bos taurus (domestic cattle)
Lineage: Eukaryota; Metazoa; Chordata; Mammalia; Artiodactyla; Bovidae
Description: long non-coding RNA NONBTAT001001
Source: RNAcentral
UUAAGGAGAGUUUAAACUCUGUUUUAAGCAGGAGACCAGAUAGAUUCUUUUGCAGAUAUCGGAAAUUUCAAACUUAUUAAAACUUUGUGAUUAAUGUUUUUUGUCUUUUAGAUUUAUUCAGUUAAUACAUACUAACAUCCCAGUAUUUUCUGUAUUAGGGAUUAAUUACAGGAACGCUCAGUAAAAUAAUACAAUUCUGAAAGAAGUUUUGAUGGUGGAAACUGAGAUUUUAACAGAGAACCAACUGUGUUUUACUGAGUGCCAAAAAAGCUUUGAGCUUCCUUGUACAAAGUUUAUAUAAUUUUUGCAUUUUUCACAUCAAUCCAGAUAGUCCCUUCCCCUAGGACCUCUCUGCCACUAAAAGACAAGCCACAUAGCUUAUUUUAUCCCAAAUUUUAAGAGUUAUUACAACCAAGUUAAUUCCAUUGGAUGAAAUGUAGACAGGUUCUAUAAAGACUAUAGAUUAAGUGAACUAGCUAAAAACAAAGUAUAUUUCAAACAUAUCCAAGCAGAGUUUAUGCAAACAACAUUAAAAAUAAGGAAAAAGGGGACAGGUAGUACUCAGAAGGCAAGGAACCAAAAAUUGAAUUAAAUUAUUACAUGGGAUGACUAGGAUAUGUUUCAAGUCAGUGAUAAUAUAGCUACUUCCAGGUACUUCAGUAUCAGAGAUCAGUUCCUAUUGGCCAAUUUCUAUGACCAACCGUCCUUGUCAUUGAAUGUGGUAUAACUGACUAUUGACUUGACAGGUUCAUUUGGCCAAUUGAGCAAUAUUUCCUUUAAUGACUAUUUUGGAGAAAAGAAAAAUAGGUUUAA